Molecule: ribosomal RNA, 438 nt
Filed under: uncultured Alphaproteobacteria bacterium
Lineage: Bacteria; Pseudomonadati; Pseudomonadota; Alphaproteobacteria
Description: bacterial SSU rRNA
Rfam family: Bacterial small subunit ribosomal RNA
Source: RNAcentral
CAGGCCUAACAUAUGCAAGUCGAGCGCCGUAGCAAUACGGAGCGGCAGACGGGAGAGUAACACGUGGGAACGUGCCCUUCAGUCCGGAACAACCCGGGGAAACUUGGGCUAAUACCGGAUACGUCCGUAAGGAGAAAGAUUUAUCGCUGAAGGAUCGGCCCGCGUCUGAUUAGCUAGUUGGUGGGGUAACGGCCCACCAAGGCGACGAUCAGUAGCUGGUCUGAGAGGAUGAUCAGCCUCACUGGGACUGAGACACGGCCCAGACUCCUACGGGAGGCAGCAGUGGGGAAUAUUGGACAAUGGGCGCAAGCCUGAUCCAGCCAUGCCGCGUGGGUGAUGAAGGCCCUAGGGUUGUAAAGCCCUUUCGGCGGGGAAGAUAAUGACGGUACCCGCAGAAGAAGCCCCGGCUAACUUCGUGCCAGCAGCCGCGGUAAUACA